GCUAAUAAAUAUGCAUAAUAUUAGUUGUUUUUUAAGUAAUUAAUACAUUUAAUUUAGUAAUUAUUUCUAUUUAGAAACAUUCUAAACAUAUUACUGCAUUAAAUAGUCCCGAGUCCAGAGUGUAUGAAUACUGUAGCUAGGCGCUAGUUUUGCUAGUUUUGCUGACAGGAGAAACUGAGGGGAAAAAGGGGGAAAGAGUUUAAACAAAACCUGUUUAAAAAGAGCAGCUGCUGUUUAGUGUGGAUGGAAGCUACAGCAUUGUGCUGAAGACCAGAUUUAAUGAGGACUGCGGUUGGGAAAACGAGGAGCGAGCUGUGAGUCUUCAUCACUGCAGUCCUGUGAUGGAGAAAAACACAUUUCUCAGGCGAACACAUUCUAGAAGGACGCUGGAGCUCCUGCUGCUCUGCUCUUGAUCACAGUAAUGGAAAUGCUCUCUGUGGCCUCUUUCAGAGUGUCAUCAAAUCCGCCUCGAUCCAUCUCCGAGACGGCUUCCUCCACUGAGCCAAUUAGAGGAUAAAAGAAGAAACAGAACUUUUCCUGCUUUUGGGCUUUCAGAGCCGACGCACUGCUGCGCGAGAGGCGCGAGAGCGGCCGAC
RNAcentral lists this long non-coding RNA (596 nucleotides) under Astyanax mexicanus (Mexican tetra). RNAcentral describes it as "lncRNA (ENSAMXG00005000572.1)". Lineage: Eukaryota; Metazoa; Chordata; Actinopteri; Characiformes; Acestrorhamphidae. The record is from RNAcentral.